GAUGAACGCUGGCGGCGUGCCUAAUACAUGCAAGUCGAGCGAACAGACGAGGAGCUUGCUCCUCUGACGUUAGCGGCGGACGGGUGAGUAACACGUGGAUAACCUACCUAUAAGACUGGGAUAACUUCGGGAAACCGGAGCUAAUACCGGAUAAUAUAUUGAACCGCAUGGUUCAAUAGUGAAUGACGGUUUUGCUGUUACUUAUAGAUGGAUCCGCGCCGCAUUAGCUAGUUGGUAAGGUAACGGCUUACCAAGGCAACGAUGCGUAGCCGACCUGAGAGGGUGAUCGGCCACACUGGAACUGAGACACGGUCCAGACUCCUACGGGAGGCAGCAGUAGGGAAUCUUCCGCAAUGGGCGAAAGCCUGACGGAGCAACGCCGCGUGAGUGAUGAAGGUCUUCGGAUCGUAAAACUCUGUUAUUAGGGAAGAACAAAUGUGUAAGUAACUAUGCACGUCUUGACGGUACCUAAUCAGAAAGCCACGGCUAACUACGUG
This 497-nucleotide ribosomal RNA is filed under the name uncultured bacterium. Its description in RNAcentral is "partial 16S ribosomal RNA". It matches the Rfam family "Bacterial small subunit ribosomal RNA", at positions 28 to 507 of the family's 1533-position model. The record is from RNAcentral.